UGGAGCACCCAUCAGUUGGAAACAACUGAACGGCAGCUAACAACAAUAUUCCAUUAAAUAAACUGCUUGUUUCAGGAGUGUAUAGGAAAAAAAAAAAAACCCAGUGCCAUCGAGUCGAUUCCAACUUAUAGCAACCCUAUAGGACAGAGUAGAACUGCCCCCAUAGAGUUUCCAAGGAGUCCUGGUGGAUUUGAACUGCCAACCCUUUGGUUAGCAGCUGUAGCACUUAACCACUACGCCACCAGGGUUUCCAUGUUUGUAGAAGUAUCCCAAAAAUACUCAGUCAUUUUUCAGUUUGUGCCUGUAUUGCUUAGUAAGGUAGGAGGAUAAAAGAAAGCAGAAUAAUUUGUGAAAUGCAUGCCUUCGAGAAUAAUUUUAAAAGGGAGUGAUUUUCUUGAGCUUACCCAACCUUAGCAAUCUCCAAGUAGCUGGCUUCCCCUUCAACUGCCCCAGCAUCUGAGGAGGGGGGCUGGGCAGUGGGGCAGAGCAAACCCAGCUGCACCUCUCUUUAGAUCCAGCAGAUGCAAUAUCCCCAUACAUAAUUUAACAGGAUCUCCGCAGCCUGGAGACGAUGUAAUGGGCUACCAGGAAAGACCAUUUGGGCUCACAUUCCAGCAACUUAUCAAAAACCAAAUGCUGUCUCAUGAGAACAGGAUCUGAAAAUGGGCAUUGAUUCACAGGAAUAGCUUCAUUUUCAUCAUCAUUAAAAGGAAUUGCCAAACCAAUGUUCGUGCUGAAUUCAAGCAUUUUCUAAAUUCCUAUAGAAAAUGUCUAUUGUUAGCCUCCUCAGGGGGAUGUUGCACAGGACAGCCCUCACUGCCCAUUUGCUGGACAUGGCCGGGAAUGGAGCUGUGCCACCCCCUGCCCCCAAAAAUGUGCAUCCAUGCAGAACUGGACAGUGGAGCCAGGAUUCCAUGCCUACAUCUCUCUGAAGGAGAAUGGUUAGUGUCUGUUGCAGAUUGAAUUAUGUCCCCCCUCCCCCCAAAUAUACACUGAAGUCCUGGCCCCUGUACCUGUGGAGGUGACCCUGUUUGGAAAUAGAGGCUUUCUUUUGUUAUGUUAAUGAGGUCAUCCCAGAGUAGGGUGGGUCCUAAACCUAAUCACUUCUGCCUUAUAAAAAGAGCAGAAUAGACACAGAGACACACACAGGGGAAGAAGGAAGGCAAGCAAUGGAGACAGCAGCCCAGGAGCACCAAGAAUUGAUGGCAGCUACUAGAAUCUGAAAGGGACCAGGAAGAGCUUCCCCAUAGAGCCAUGCCCUGCAUUCGGAUGACUGGCCUCCUGGGCCAUGAGACAAUAAAUGUCUGCUUUUUAAAGGCACCCCCUUAUGGUAUUUCUGUUAUGGCAGCCCUAGACAACUAAGGCAGUGUCUGUGUCCUCUGAGUAUCUGGGUUUUGAUUCCUUGGUGUUAUAGGUUGAAUUGUGUCCUCCCAAAAUAUGUUGAAGUCCUAACCCCUGUACCUAUGGAUGUGACCUUGCUUAGGGAAACUGGGUUUUGCUUGAAGAUAUUAGUGAAGGCAUACUGCAGUAGGAUGGGUCCUAGUCCUAAUCCCUUCUGAGUGGCGUCUUAUAAAAAGGUGUAAAGACACGGAGAGAGGGUCACUUGGAGAAGACAGAAUGUGAGGAUCCGUCUACAAGCCAGAAGCUGAAGGAGACAAGGAAGAAUCUUCCCCUAGAAAUGACACAGAGAGAGCAUAGCUCUGUCAAUGCCCUGAAUUUGGACUUCUGGCCUCCAGAACUGGGAGACAAUGAAUUUCUGUCCUUAAAGUCACCUGAUUUGUGGUAUUUUUUUUAUGGCAGCACCAGGAAACUAAGACACUUGGCUUGGAUCAGAGAGCAGGAUUUGUCAACAGAACACCAAGGGGGCCAGGACAGGAGGACGUGACCUGACGUGGCAACAGGCAGGUUAGAGGUGAAUGUAAUGGAAGAGAUGCUGGCACAGGGCAGCAGCCCCCUAGUGUUUGUAACAUCCCGUGAAUUCAGAAUUCCAAUAGACCCAUGACUCACAGGAAUUCAACAAGUCUCAGAGCGAGUACAAGAUUGAACAACUAUGUUGCUCUGUCUUCAAGAUCACAGAUCCCUUGAGUACCUGCUGAGACUGACCUUGUUAAACACACAGUAAAGGAUGUUUAAGUUUCUGCCAUGCGUGGUUGGAUUCAAUGUGGACUGCAAGAUGGACCCAUUCACCCGUGAGGCAAGGUGCAAGGUGGGCCCCCUCUGAGGAGGCACACACUCCUCUGAGUGGUCAGGGACACCUGAGGGGGGCAGGUGGAACACCCUGGGAAGAGUUGGGCAUGAGGCAGGACCACGGCCUGGCUCUGCCCUGGCUUCUGGAAGCUUUGACCAGGCUCCUUACACUGAUAGGAACCAGAGAUGGCCUGAAUGGAGUAGCACUGUGACCCUGCUGGGCCAUUUCUUGCCUGGGCUUCAGGGCCAGAGGCUGCCCUGAUCCUGGGGCCGAAGGUGCAUUGUGAGCAGGAAAGAAGAGACCCUCGUGUCCAGGGGUGCAGCAGGGACUGGCCAGAGGAGCGAAUGGGUGAAGUCCCACUCUGUCUCUCUGCAUGUCUGUCACCAAGGGGCCACCCCUACCUCCAGUGUCCCACAGUGCCAUCAUCUCUGCAUCCUCUGGAAUCUGGCAGCAGGCAGCCUCUCAUGCUAGGUCAAGGGUCCCUGGGUACUGUGGACCAGCCGCUCUUGGGGUCCACUUACCUCUGGGCAGUGGGCUGUGGCAGGGCUGGAGUGGGCCUCGGAGUGGCCAAGGUUGCAUGCCCUGUAGUCAACAUGCCAUGGGUUACCCUGCCCUGCAGCACCCCAUAUGUCUUAGUUAUCUAGUGUUGCCAUAACAGAAAUGCCACAAGUGGAUUGCUUUAACAAACAGAAA
Molecule: long non-coding RNA, 2881 nt
Organism: Loxodonta africana (African savanna elephant)
Lineage: Eukaryota; Metazoa; Chordata; Mammalia; Proboscidea; Elephantidae
Exons: 3
Source: RefSeq, a predicted model, not a curated record